GCAGACAUAGCUGAAGGCACAGCCUGAGGCCUGUGGGCCAGUGACCCCCCUCUCCGUCCAGGCUGGAGACCCCCCACUCCCAGUCCUGAGAGUGGGUUCAAGCAGAGGGCAGAUCUGGUGGGGGAAACAACAAGGACUGGCUCCCAUGGGGGGGAGGGGAAGGGGACUCUUGGUAUCUCUGUGACUGUUUAGUCUGCUUUGUAGGUGUGUGUGGAGGUAUUUCUGCCAAUAUUCAUAUAUGUGUGUGUCUCUUUCCGUGUUGUAUCUGCUUGAACAUUUUGUGGCUAAGUCUGUGUAUGAAUCCAUUCAGACUAGUCAACAAAUGCUAACUGGUGGUCUGCUUAGCACUGAUCUGCUUACACUUCCUAGGAAUGGGGGUGGGGGAAAGUCAGCAGUAAGUAGAACAGGCACAAAUCUUGCCCUGGUGGAGCUGACGCGAGGGCGGAGGGACAAUACAUGAAGAAGAUGCUCUCGGGAGCUGUCAAGUGCUCAGAGGGCCCUGGACCAGGGGAAUGUGAUGAAGAGCACCUGGGGCGGCUCCCGCAAGUGACAUGGGGCAGAGGCUUGAAUCCUGAAAAGGGGGCAGCUGUGCCAGGAACGAGGCGAACAUGUCAGGGAGGAAUGAGGCCGGCCGAGCACCCUGAGUGGCUAUGUAUUAUUCGUGAAGUGAUUCAUUGCUGGGAAGGUGACGGCUGUGGAGAGCAAACCAACACUGAAAUAUUGUGCCAGCGUCUGAAACAGUGAAGAACUCUUGGUGUUGCUGAAUGGUGCCCUGGUGAUAAUGGUGCACAGAGCAGAGGCUGAAAACGGACAUGAGGCCUGGGGCGGUGUGGCUCUUGGAGCCAGAGUGUGGCCGUGGUGAGCUGGGAGCGAGGGCUGUUUCUGGCGCUGCAUCUGGGCGAGCUUGACAGAUAAGGUAAUGGGAGCCAUUUGGACAGACUCGGGAAUGGCCGGGAAGAUGGGGGCCACUUGGCUGCUGGGGUAGCUGUGGGGGCAGGGAGAGAUGGGGGCCCUGGAGCCGCUCUAAAGACUUAGCAGAGGACUAGGCCUUCCCACAUCUUGGAGCAGCGCCACCCCUCUUGCUGUGUGGACACGAGCCUGGGAAGGGACACCUCCAGUGUGGACCUCUGCUCCUUCUGUGACCUGGGCCUGUGUGAGUCUGCCUGUGGCGUGCUGCGGGGGG
Phacochoerus africanus (Common warthog) is the source of this 1183-nucleotide long non-coding RNA. RefSeq lists it as uncharacterized. Lineage: Eukaryota; Metazoa; Chordata; Mammalia; Artiodactyla; Suidae. The transcript is spliced from 3 exons. The record is from RefSeq and is a predicted model, not a curated record.